UGUUUGUUUGUUUUUUUGUUUUUCAAGACAGGGUUUCUCUGUAUGGCCCUGGCUGUCCUGGAACUCACUUUGUAGACCAGGCUGGCCUCAGAAAUCUGCCUGCCACUGCCUCCCAAGUGCUGGGAUUAAAGGUGUGUGCUACCACACCCGGCUGUUUUAAUAGUUUUUAACAGUUCUCAAAAUGCACUGUUUUUAGGACUGGUCUUGCUAUCAAAAUUUAAGGACCCUAACAAAGCUUCAUUUACAGAGACCAUAUUUAUUAGAGAUGCCUAAAAAUUUGUAGUGGUAGCAUGUACUUGUAAUCCCAGCACAAUGGAGGCUGAGGCAGAAGGAUUACCACAAAACUGAAGCCAGCUUAGGAUCUGUGAGUUCAAGGGUACUUGGAAAUACAAGACCUUGACUCAAAACACCAGAAAAUACCUAUUAGAUACCACCUAUCAAUAGAAGUUAUAAGUAUAAGCUGGCCAAGAGGCCCCAAUGGAAGGUCCCUAAAUCCCAGGCCAGCCUAAUAGAUUGCACGAGAAGACACUGUCUCAAACAAAGUUCAUUUAAGCAAUUAACUGUGCACAGCACAUUAACAUAAGUCGCAGGAAUAGCCUAUGAAAGGUAACCACAUGUUCCGAAGGGGGAGAAAUCAGUGGGAAAAGCGGCACCGCUGAAAGUUUCACAAAUGUAGGGCUGCAGAGAGGGCUCAGAGGAGUUGAGGGAAAGGUGCCAACCAUACAAGCCUGGCACCCUGAGUUCCAUCCCCAGAACCCAUAUAAAAGUGGAAACAGAGAUCGGACAGCAGAAAAUUGCUCUCUGAUCUCCACACACAUGCCUGCACAUACAGAGAAUCAUAAAAUUAAAUGUGCCUUUUGUCUGGUUGGUUGAUUUGAUUGGAUUUUUCAAGACAGGGUUUCUCUGUGUGGCCCUGGCUGUUCUGGAACUCACUCUGUAGACCAGGCUGGCCUCAAACUCACAAAGAUCUGCCUGCCUCUGUCUCUCAGGUGCUGGAUUAAAGGUGUGGGCCACCACUGCCCAGCUAAUAAUACCUUUUUUUUCUUUUUUCUUUUUUUUGGUUUUUCGAGACAGGGUUUCUCUGUGUAGCCCUGGCUCUCCCAGAACUGCAUUUUUUUUUUUUUAUAGAAAAUUUUAGUAAUCUAAUUUCUGGUCCAAUAGAAAAGUGUUAAAGCUGGGUGGGUGCAAUGCCUCAGGUGUAUUCUCCCAGCACUUGAGAGGUGAAGGCAGAAGGAUUCGGUGUUCAGGGCUAACCGUGGCUAAGUAACUGAGUCUAACAUGCAUGAGAGCCAAGGAAGGAAGGAAGGAAGGGAAGGGAGGGAGGGAGGGAAAGAGCUGUUGGAGUCUCAGAACAGCUUACAUAUGCUUGUUGCAGUAUAUUGCUUUGGUUACUCCAUCGAGAGCUGGCUUCAUCCAGAUAUGCUGAAUAGCAAAUAGCAGAUUACACACUCUUUCAAAGUAAUCUGGAAUCUUUAAUGCCAUUUAAAACACUGCCAGGUGAUAGCUCCACAGGACAGGUAGGUGUGCACUCUGGGGUCACCCUCGGCUACAUUAAGACGCCCUCUACCUGGUACCUUUCAUGGAAUGUCUGCCAACGUGCCUUUGUAAUAAACAUUAGUCAUUUAGAAAACAUUGCUUUUAAGAUGCACAAACUUAAACGCUGACACGUUUUAGUCUCCAUCAUACAAAAAAAAAAAAAAAAAUCACAUCCGAUAACACUGAAGAGUUACUUACAUUCAUUAAUAACAGGAAACUACUGAAUAGGGGAAGUAUAUAUUUUUUUAAUUUUUACUGCUAAGCUCAAUUUUUUUACAGUUUUUUUUUAAUCGUUUUCUAAGUUCAAAUGUUACAUGUUACAAAUUGCAACAAAUAUCACCACUUUUCCCCCUUGGACAAAGCCACCUUCUCUUCUCUUCUCAUGUUUAAGUCAGUGUCUGCUCACAUCCCACACCCCAGCUCCUCUGUCAUCCUUUCAGGGCUCUGCACGGCUUAGGCAUGCACUGUCCCCCCAUGCUGACCCCAGACCCCACAGAACACUUGUCAUCCAGGGCACCCAGAUAUUUCUGCAGGGAAAAAAAAUCACUUUUUAAUUAAUAAACUUUGAAAUCAGCUUUUUAAAAAUAUAGAGGAAAUUACACAUAUUUAUUUAUCUACUUAUUAUUUAUUUGCUUGCAGUUGGCAUUUUGAGGUGCUCCCCACUGAGGCCCUGGCUGGUCUGGUACUGGUUAUGCAGCCCAAGUGCCCUCAGAUUCACCAAGGCGCUCCUGUUUCUGCCCAAGUACAAGGACUACAGUGUAGCCCACCACAUUUAGCUUCCAGAGCAGCUUUGGUUCUCAGCAAAACUGAGCAGGGUACAGCAUUCCCAGUUCCUCCCACCUGCUCUCAUGUGCAGUGCCCCCACUGUAGACACUGACUUUCCCAAUGACUCCGUGACCCUGAGAAUCUUCAAUACAGUCACUGGGGCUUGAAAGCGUCCCACGCCCAGAACACUCCCCGUUCCACGAAGAGCCUGCCCUGAUGAACGAAGUCAUACUGGAUUUUUUUUCUCACAUGUAAUUAGGAAUGAGUAUUAAAGAGACUGAGGCAGAGGAAUGUGGAGAGAUCUUUGGGCUAGACAGUGAAACCUGUUAAAACACACACACACAUUUAUAUGCACACACAUAUAUUUACAUACACACCGGCUUCAGAGCUCUUUAAUUACCUCACCCCCUCUUAUGCAUGAGUUUACUUUGAUUAAUGUUAAGAAGUUUGUUUUUCCUAAACAUUUUGACAGAAAAAAGACCACAACAACACUGAUUUGCCAAGGGAAGUCAGCUUUACAUUAAAUAUUUAUUGUGUCCAAACCACAAGUAGGAAAAACUUCAAAGGCUAACUAUUUUAAUGAUAACUCACAUUGUUUGGCUUACGGGAAAGGUAAUUACACAGCUUGCAUUUGGGUUUUGAGGUUUUUAGGAUUUUUGUGCGGGUGGGAGGGGGAGACAAAGGAACAGUCUAAUGCAUUUAGAUUCUGCCAGGAAAAAAAAAAAGCGAGCUCUCUAAAAGCAAAACAAAUUUAGCAUUAGAUACAAUGUGGGGAAACUUGCUAGUAAGCUUUCACCUAAGCAGGUGCAGAGUCCAGACUCAAAGCACAGACUCUCAUACCGAGAACAAGAGGUCGGGACACCGCAAACUAAUAAAAUCAAUCAGCCGUCGGGAAAGCAGAUGGCUACACAGACAGGCAGGGUUUUUCUUUCCUAAUCCCAAGCAGUUUUCAGAAAUGGCAUCUACAAAAACUACCCAAACAUCCCCGUAAUAAACUGCGCCCCUCCUCCACAACACGGAAGCCAUUAGUUACAAGUUUCACUUUCUCUUUCUAGCUCCGCUGGCUUCCUUCUGUUCCACAUGGGCCCACUGGGUUGGACUGGUUGCAGGUCCAUUCCUGUCUUCUCCAACCCAAACUUAAAGAGGUGAAUAGUAAAUUUGACUCAUGGGAGCUAGGUUGUUAUCUGUGAGGCUAUUCACUUGUUAGGUACAAAGAAAAGUUACAGAACAGGAAGAUAAAGCUGUAUAUACACAUCAAGUGAAGGGUAACUGUGAACAUCUGCACGUCCAUUCACGCCCUCACACAUGCUUGUAUACACAUACACACACACACACACACACACACACACACACACACAGAUGUGAAGAGAGACGCUAUCAGCUGCACAGGACACAGCAAAGCAACUUCCAGCAUCAUGUGGGUCAUUCAUGGAUGUCAUCCAACGUCCAAGCCUUCUGGAUCUCUUCUUCCCCUCUCCCGUCUCCUCCUUCCUAAGAAAGAUUCAACCCUAACCACUCCUCUACCCUUCAACUGUCCAAGAGUAUCUGUCCCUUAUCUUUUUGCUAUGGUAGCACACACCUUUAAUACAAAUACCAGGGAGGCAGAAGCAGGCAGAUCUCUGUUCUCUGAGUUUGAUGCCAACUUGGUUUAUAGAGUGAGUUCCAGGCCUGCCACCACCAGAGCUACAUACUGAGACUCUGUCUCUCAUUCAUACAUAUAUACAUAUACACACACAUUACAUAUGUGUGUGUGUGUGUGUAUAUGUAUGUGAUAUAUAUGUGUGUGUUUAUGUAUGUGAUAUAUAUGCGUGUGUGUUUAUGUAUGUGAUAUAUAUGUGUGUGUGUAUGUAUGUGAUAUAUAUAUAGUGUAUAAAAUUAUGUGUGGUUCUGGAGACUGAACCCAAAGCUCUGUUCACAUUAGGAAUAUGUUCUAUCACUGAGUUAUAUAUCUCUGGCCCUUUUUCAAAAAUCUGACACAGAAUCUGAGCAAGUUCCAGGCUGGUCUCAAACACCUAGUCUUCCUGCCUCAGCUUCAGCAUCACUGGGGUUUAUGAACACACACCACCAAUCAUAUUCUCUCUGCUUCCCUUUUAAAAAAUUGUUUUAGGGGCUGGAGAGAUGGCUCAGUGAUUAAGAGCACCAACUUCCCUUCCAGAGGUCCUGAGUUCAAUUCUCAGCAACAACCAUCUGUAAUGGGAUCCAAUGCCUUCUUCUGGUGUGUCUGAAGACAGCUAGAGUGUAGAGUGUACACACACACACACACACUCACAUACACACACACACAUAUAUACACACACACAUAUAUAUACAUACAUACACAUAUAUAUAUAUUCUUUAAAAUAAAUAAAUAAAAUCAUUUUACAUUAGUCUAUUACUCUAGUUGUGCAUAUGUAUGCACACAUAAACCAUGCUGCAGGUGUGGACAUCAGAGGACAACUUGUGGAAAACAAUUCUCACCUUCCAUCACACAGGUUCCAGAAACCAAACUCGUAGCCCGGUGUGGUGGCGUAUGCCUUUAAUCCCAGCACUCGGGAGGCAGAGGCAGGUGGAUUUCUGAGUUCGAGGCCAGCCUGGUCUACAAAGUGACUUCCAGGACAGCCAGGGCUAUACAGAGAAACCCUGUCUCAAAAAAAAAAAAAGAAAGAAAGAAAGAAAUCAAACUCAAGUGGUCAGGCCUGAAGGCAAGCACCUUUACCCACUGAGCCAUGCCACCAGCAACACCCACCACCACCACCCAUGUCUCAAGACAGUGUCUCACAUAGCCCAGACUGGCCUCAUACUCCCAGUGUAGUCCAUGGUGACCUCAAACUUCUGAUCUUCUUAUCUCCACCCAACAAGGGGUUUUAGAGGAGUGUGCCACUAAAUCUGGGUUUAUCUAGUCCUAGGGAUGGAAGCCAUGGCUUCAUACACACUAGAGAAGCACUCUACCAACUCAGCCAUGUUCCUAGCCUGUAGCUGUCUAUACUUCUUAAGAGCAUGAAAAACUCCAAGGGACUAUUACUGAGUAGUGAUAACUUUCAAUGUGUUGACUAUUAAAAUACAUGGAGUGGAUCAUAGGUCUUUGAAGCUGCAAAGAGGCUUAUCAUGAGAGCCUCUAUGUAACAGGAAUGUACAGUUUGCCAUGUCUAUAUCUCUAUGUCAAAGAUAUAUCUCCUCUGUCACCAUGUAAAUCCCCAGUCCCUAGUCACUUAGCUUCCCCUGUAGGUCAAAAUCUCCUAAUUACUCUUUCUUUCCUUCAGGUCACUAAUGGUGCCAUGAAUCAUAACUUGCCCAACUUGGUAACCAGAGAGAAAGAUUGAAGAUUUCAGUGUUAAUUGAUAUCAUUUGAAUGUUAGCUACGUGCUAGGCACCACGCAAAAUUUCUUAUGAUGUAACAAAUGAUCUCACUCGGUCUUCACAGCUACCCUGUGAGUGGACCCAGCAGGCAGUUUGUGGACAAAGAAAUUGAAACUCAGAGAUGUUAAAGCAACCAGCCUUAAGGACAAAGAGGUGUUGUAUCUGAAAAUUCAAACCCAAGGUGUCUGGCCUCAUAGCGCUGCUUUAGAAUGCCAUUGCGUCUGUCCAUGUACCACAAAACCCUCAAGCACAUCACCCAAGCAAUAGUUACCUUAGGAGAGCUCAGAAUGUGAGUUUCUUGACUGACGCAUUUAAAAGGUCAAAGGUCAGGUCAAUUGUUCAGUGGUGAGUAAAGUCAUUUAUUACCACAGAUAGAGCUGGCAAGAUGGAAAGCCAAGGUCUAAACAUCACUUUCUUAUGGGGGUAGAUUUGCCUUCCAUAUUAUUUUGUUGAGCUGUUAAAAUGAUUUUCAAUAAAAUAGAUCCAAAAUGAACUGGUAAGUUAAAGAGUGUCUGGGAAAACACACACUGAACUAUUAACAGGAAAACAGGUAAAGCUUUUUAACACAGCAUAUAUUACUAUCAUGAAAAGAAUUCAAUCUUUUUAAAACACAGUUCUAGUGACAUGAUCAGAAGAGAAGGCAUAAAAGAUGUGGCUCUGUGGCCUUCCUGUUUCCUUCUCCUCAAUUAAGAGCUUCCACUUUUAGCCCCUAAACCCACUAUGCUGUUUUAAGCUCAGCACAUCCACGCCCCCACCACCUUGAAAGAACUGUACAAGCUCUGCAAGAAUUCCUAACCCUCCUGUAAGUGCUCUGGUGUUCCCGGAAACUAGCCCUCCUGUAACCUCUCACCCCUGUAUAGAAUGAGCCUCUCUAUCCUUGGACCUUUUCCUAAGAACUUAAGAUAUACAGGGCUCUUGCUGUGGAGCUGCAUGCUCUAAACAUUUCACUUGCAUGAGAGAGGGUCUCCCUGUAUACCUCAAGUUGUAGGCAUGUGCCAACAUGCCAACAGACCGACCUUCCCCCCACCCUUUUGUCUGUCUUUUUUUUUUUUUUUUUUAAAGUUAGGUAAGAAAACUGAGGCUCAGCCAGGCAGUGGUGGUGCACACCUUUGGUCUCAGCACUUGGGAGGCAGAGUCAGGCAGAUCUCUGUGAGUUGGAGGCCAGCCUGGUCUACAGAGAGUGUUCCAGGACAGCCAGGGCUACACAGAGAAACUCUGUCUCAAAAAAAAAAAAAAAAACCAGAGGGGAGCUGGGGGGUGGCCGUGGUGGGACAGGAGGGGAGCUGGGGGGUGGCCGUGGUGGGACAGGCAGGACUGAGGCUUAGCUUCUGACCAAGAAGCAGUGAAUCCAGGAUCGGAUCCCAGGUCUCUCUGCCUCCGUAGCCUCAGACUUGAGCCACUCACUCCUCUGCCUUAGGUGAAUACUGCAACAGUGUGCACUCUGGUCCCCACUAGGCCUACAGUUCCAUGAGAACUUGGGUGGGGUUUUGAAUACUCAUUCUCCUUGGCUCCUGCCCAGCUUCUACUCUCUGCUGCUGUGGUUUUGUUCUGGUUUGGUUCUUUAACACGGGGUUCUCUACAUAGCCCCAGCUGGCCUGAAACCAUGAACCCCAGGCUUCCCUUGAUCAAAUUUGCAGCAAUCCUCCUGUCUCUGUGAAAAUACUUUUUCUUGAACCGGGGCUUUGCUAGGUAGUCUCCAGCUAGCUACGCAGAAUACCUGGCCUUAAAUUGGUAGUGGGCCUCCAGCCAGUGUCUCCCAAAUCCUUGAAUUGCAAGCAUAUACCAGCAGACCUGCCUAGCCUUUUUUGAGACAGGGUCUUAUUAGCUACUCAAAGCAGACUUGGAAUUCACUAGGUAACCCAGGCUAGCUUCAAACUCACUUUUUUUUUUUUUUUUUUUUUUUUUUGGCCUCAGUUCUUGGCUAGCCACAUGCUAAAACUGCAGACAUGAAACAUCCAUGGCCAGCUUCUGCUUAGUGUUUUGUUCCUGUUCAUCUUAAGCCAGGGUCUUAGCUGGCCUGGAACUCAAUUUGUAGACCAGCUGGCCCUUAAUUCUUAGAGAUCCACUGCUGCUGCCUUCCAAGUGCUGGAAUUAAGGGCAUGUGCCGCCAGCACCAUUCAUCCGUCUAGCAUGUGUGCAUGCGUGUGUGUGUGUGUGUGUGUGUGUGUGUAUGUGUGUGUGUAUGUUAGCUGAAUAAAGUUAUAGCAAACAUAACAUAAAAAAAUGAGAACCAUAGUAGAAAUUCAUUCUUCCAAAUGUUACUCCUUUAAACAAAUUAUUUCCAAGAAUUUGCCACCAAAUACAAUCUGGUAAUCCCAACUAUCUGCACCAGAGCAAGCCAAACAUUCUUUUCACCAUCAAAGACAGCAAGCCAAUGCCAUCCUCCACCAUCUCACUGAGGCCGGUCCACAGCACCAGGAGUCCUUCAAGAUUUAGGGCUAUCCUUCAAGCACUCUUUAGAUGAGUUUUUUGGUUUUUUUAUUUGGCUAGAACUUUAAAAUCCGAAUGACAUAAAAUGUGUUCCGUGGUAGAGUGCUUGUUAGCAACCUAGGUUUCGUCCCCAGAAAGGGAGAAAAGGAGAGUAAAAGGGAGGGAAACUGAGGGAAAGAAGAGAGCAGGGAGGGACAGAAGGCACAGGUGUAAGUAAUAAUGCCUUGCUCUCCUUAAUGACAUCAACGUGUUGUAUUAGACAAUAAAGCAUUUAUCAAGUUGCUCCAACAGCCUGCAAAUCUACACACAAGAUGUCACUCUCCCUAGCACUUUUCACAAUGUCAGAGAGGUUAAGUAUUCUCUGAGCUGUACACCAUCACCAUCUCUUAGAAAACAUCAGCUAAAAGGCUUCUGGGCUUGGGCAUCAAGGAAGGUGCUCACUACCUCCGCGCCCUUCUCACAUUUGGAUGUCAAGACAAAAGAAAAAGGAACUUUCUACAGACAGAAACGACCACUGACCACAAGGCUCUCCGGCUGAAAUGUCAUUGAGGUCACAGCCGCCCUUUAGCUAAAAUUUGCCUAAACAUCUCCAUUAAAAAAAUAGCUGAAGUUUGACAGUAAAUUAUGCUAACAGGAGAGGGAGAGAGGGGGAAGGGGGAGGGGAAAGGAGAGAGGGGGGAGAGGGAGGAGAGAGGGUGAGACACAGAACAGUUACUUUGGCUUUCAGCUGCCAAUGUUUCAUUAUUCAGAUUUUCUCUGAUACUUCUCAACAGGGAACAUACUCACUCUAAAUUGAAACUGAAUACUUAAGCAUGGACCAAGAAAUAUGUAAAAGGCAGACGUUAAACCAUUGUAACUCACGAUGCCUUAAGGCAAGUGUCUAGGCCUAUUGGCCUCAAUUUCCUUAUCUACAAAAUGAGGUUAGCAUUCAGUGAGCCACCUAGCUAUCUCUCAGCCCCUAUCGAGAGCCUCAUAACUGAGGAUUAUCUCUAAGUGGUUAUUUGUCCCGAUGAACUACAGAUGAAAAUAAAAGAUUCAUGAAUCUGCUAAUGGUUCUUUGUGGGGAGUGUGCUAACACUAAGAACAAACACUCCAACAUUUUCAUUAUUAUUAUUCCAGAUUCUCUUCCCAGUGGUUCUCCCCAAAAGCCCUAGGUUUGAUUCCCAGGACCCAGGUGGUGGAUCACAACCAUCUGUCACUAGUUCCAGAAGCUCUGAUGUCCUCUUCUGGCCACCUAGGGCACUGGGCACACACUGGCACAGACGUGCAUGCAGGCAAAACACUCAUACACAUAGAACAAAGAUAAAUAAAGUCUAAAACUAAAAAAAAAUUAAAAGAUCCCGCUUAGUGUUCUGGUCCGGCACAUGCAAUAAUGAAACAAACAUGUUUCCUCAAGGAACAUAGACAUUAUUUAAUAUAAAAAGAGAAAAAAUGGCUGGCUCAAAUCCUAACAGUCUAAUUCCACAUUAAAAAGAAGAUAGAAGUGAUUUAUUGCUUUAAUAUAUUCACGUCCAUGCUGCACCUACACUGACAGCCCAACAUUCACAAUGCAUACACAAAUAAGCACUGUAGUAAACAGCAGGUAUAAACUACACACACUCUGAAUAAGGAAACUGAAUAAGCACUGACAGUACCCAUACACACAUCAAUUGAUACAACCGAGGGAUGUGGACCAGGUAUGAAAAAAGUGACUUGAGCAACAGUCUGGAUUUUGCCAACUUACCAAUUUAUAGCCACACACCCCCCAACAGGUAAAGUUUACACACAGAACUCAGCCAAGGCCAGCCUGUCUUUGUUUCCCUAGCUUCUGCUUUUACACAAGAGCUUGGCUAUGAGACAGAAAACUCCCACUCUUGAUUGGCUCACCCUGGCCUGUGCAAUUAAGCAACACCACGAUCCAGUAAAUGCAAUGGCUCAAUUAUUUAUCGUCUCGUCGAGUUUACCAGGUGUUUAUGAGAGAACAAUGUCAAAGAGGAAAGAGGUUUGUUGCUCUUUAGAGCUGGUUUGGCCAGGGAUUUAUUUUGAAUUGGGAAAAAAAAAAGUGUUCUUAACAAGGUGGGGGAAAUCAUAGCUUAACACAGAAAGAGAUGGGAGAGAAUUUAGAAAGGAUACAAGUUUGUCAAUUUUCUAUAGGAAAUCUGAUUCUUAAGAAAAAAAUCUAGCCAGUCCCAGAGGCUGGGGGGGGGGGGGGAGGGGGAGGGGGAGGGGCGGAGAGGCAGGAGGAGAGACACAACAGUUCCCACCUCCUAAGUGGGUACAGCUGACUACAGAAGGAACGGGAGCAAGGCAAAGAAAGUGGCUAGGCAAGGAACGGCCAGGCCCAGCACAGGGGCAGGAAGGAGGCUCCUUCUAACGCCUCCACCCCAAUGAUCUCCACCUGAGUGGCAGUGGCUCUGGUGGCCCGAACGUCCCUAGCCUCCGGGAGCAGUCACAGGAGGGCCGCUUCUGCUGGUUCCUGUCAUCCGGACGUCAGUGCCGCCGGGACGACCCUGUGUGUCUCCUCCUAUCCUCCUGCCCCAUGUAAGUGUCCAUUCACAGCUCUAAGCACCCCCACAGCUGACGAACCGUGGGGUCCCCCAUGCCGUCCCCCGUGCCGUCGGGGAGGUGGCCCCACCCUGCACCCCCUUCACCUGUCUCCGGGGCUGAGGCCCGACUGGCCGGCCUGCGCUGACUCCAGGCGCGAGCUGCUGGGCUCCCGAGGGCCGCCUGGCCUCUCCUAGCCGACGCGGUCAGGCGACACCGAGCGGGGUUGUACCUCAGCGAUCCGGUUAGGGCUCGUUCCCUCCGCCGCGACGUCGGAACCCCAGGUUCCCCCUCCCUGUCUACACUGCAGCUCCGGAAACCGCUGAAUUACAGCCCCUCCAGCCAAUCCCCACCCAGCCGCCACUGGCCAAGACACGCCUCCAUGCAUAAUUAAGGAAUGGCCAGCUGGCUAGGCCACCCUGAGGCCUCCGGGCGAGCGCUGUACUUCCUAAGCCCCGCCCACUAACCAAUGAAAAACGCCUCUAGGAGAGAAGGCGGGGUCGAGAGCUCUGGGCACACCUCCCUGAGUUGGCUGUUCUGAGAGCUUUGUGCUCCUCCCUCCGCGACCAAGGGACGCGCAGAGGCCUAGCUUACAAAAAAGCCCGGGGGGAGGGAGGAGACAUUAGCGGAAUGUCCUGCUGAAAACUCAGCUGAGUUCCUGGCAGUGCGUGACGUCAAGACACUUUAAAUGCCCUGAUACGGCUCGCUUCUGCCCGCUCUCCCUUUUCCCGGCCCUUGGCACCACGUGGGGGCGAGUUUGUGAGCUCCUUACCACGUGGGAAUCAGCCACUUAGGCGGUCCCCAGGUGUCACCCCACUUAAGCAUUUGGGUUUGUGGAGACAUCAAAAAAGAACAUGGGCAACUCCUGGCUGCUCUGAACUUCAGUUCUGCGUGAUUAUGGGCAUACACCCGGAAAUAUGACGUGGAAAUAGAGUAAUUACUAGAUUGCGUGGGGGAGAAUAGUGGCUAUAACCCGGUUCUCUGUUCCACCAUUUCAAACCUGAAUCUCAACAGCAAGGCUGAUUGGUCAGCUCACAGAAAUGCAGAGAGCCUAUGCAUGACAGCUGACACGAAUACACAGUACUUGCCAUUUC
Molecule: long non-coding RNA, 11684 nt
Organism: Mus musculus (house mouse)
Lineage: Eukaryota; Metazoa; Chordata; Mammalia; Rodentia; Muridae
Product: predicted gene, 46295
Exons: 2
Source: RefSeq, a predicted model, not a curated record